This 274-nucleotide ribosomal RNA is filed under the name uncultured bacterium. RNAcentral's name for it is "partial 16S ribosomal RNA". It matches the Rfam family "Bacterial small subunit ribosomal RNA", at positions 523 to 796 of the family's 1533-position model. The record is from RNAcentral.
AUACGGAGGGUGCAAGCGUUACUCGGAAUCACUGGGCGUAAAGCGCGCGCAGGCGGGCUGAUAAGUUGGAUGUGAAAGCCUACGGCUCAACCGUAGAACUGCAUCCAAAACUGUCAGUCUAGAGUCUGGGAGGGGAAGAUGGAAUUAGUCGUGUAGGGGUAAAAUCCGUAGAGAUAACUAGGAAUACCAAAAGCGAAGGCGAUCUUCUGGAACAGUACUGACGCUGAGGCGCGAAAGCGUGGGGAGCAAACAGGAUUAGAUACCCUAGUAGUCC